ACAGAGGUCCCAAGCGUUGUUCGGAUUCACUGGGCGUAAAGGGUGCGUAGGUGGUGGGGUAAGUCGGAUGUGAAAUCUCCGAGCUCAACUCGGAAACUGCAUUGGAAACUACCCUGCUAGAGGGUCGGAGGGGGGACUGGAAUACUUGGUGUAGCAGUGAAAUGCGUAGAUAUCAAGUGGAACACCAGUGGCGAAGGCGAGUCCCUGGACGACUCCUGACACUGAGGCACGAAGGCUAGGGGAGCAAACAGGA
This 253-nucleotide ribosomal RNA is filed under the name uncultured prokaryote. RNAcentral describes it as "partial 16S ribosomal RNA". It matches the Rfam family "Bacterial small subunit ribosomal RNA", at positions 525 to 777 of the family's 1533-position model. The record is from RNAcentral.